This 376-nucleotide ribosomal RNA is filed under the name uncultured organism. RNAcentral's name for it is "partial 16S ribosomal RNA". It matches the Rfam family "Bacterial small subunit ribosomal RNA", at positions 527 to 896 of the family's 1533-position model. The record is from RNAcentral.
GUAGGUGGCAAGCGUUGUCCGGAAUUAUUGGGCGUAAAGCGCGCGCAGGUGGGUUCUUUUAAGUCUGAUGUGAAAGACCCCCGGGCUCAACCGGGGAGGGUCAUUGGAAACUGGGGAACUUGAGUGCAGGAGAGGAAAGUGGAAUUCCACGUGUAGCGGUGAAAUGCGUAGAUAUGUGGAGGAACACCAGUGGCGAAGGCGACUUUCUGGCCUGUAACUGACACUGAGGCGCGAAAGCGUGGGGAGCAAACAGGAUUAGAUACCCUGGUAGUCCACGCCGUAAACGAUGAGUGCUAAGUGUUGGGGGGUUUCCGCCCCUCAGUGCUGCAGUUAACGCAUUAAGCACUCCGCCUGGGGAGUACGGUCGCAAAGACUG